This is a long non-coding RNA of Apis mellifera (honey bee), 970 nucleotides long. RefSeq lists it as uncharacterized. The transcript has 3 exons. The record is from RefSeq and is a predicted model, not a curated record. NCBI's taxonomy places the organism in Eukaryota, Metazoa, Arthropoda, Insecta, Hymenoptera, Apidae.
UUAAAAAAGAUGUCAUAUUAUAACCUAUACAUGAUGAAAGUGUUUGUUACUAUACAGAAUCAAAAAUUUUUUCGUUAUAGUUUGUAAAUUCUCAAAUACAAACUUUCAGCAAACACAAAAUUAAAACAGCUUUGGUAUCAUUAAACAAAUAACAUCAAUCGAUUACUAUUUGUAUUUCUUUCAAACUUUCAAUGUACGCGCCAAGAAAUUAUAAUAAUUAUCAACACGUAGCCAAGUUUAUUUUACUCAAUAGUGCGCAUGCGCAAUCAAACUCGGUUUAAAAUAUUCACAUAACCUCCCUCCAACACCUUUGGGCGUACAUGCCAUAUAUAAAUCUUCCUUGUAUGGAAAUCUUAUAUAGAAUAAAUAAAUAAUAAGUGCGAGUCUAUAAAUACGAAUAUACGCGUGAAGGGGGGGCGUCGCCAUUUCCCUUCACAGGACUCUCCCCUUUUGAAUAUUUAAUGGUGACGAAUAGCUUCCGACCUGUAUUCCAGGCUCGAUGACGUAAAAAUUUCGUGCAGAAAGAGAGUAAUGUUCAUUAAUUCCAUAAGGGGUAAAGAUUCUUCUGCUGUUUGCGGAAAUGCAAUAUCAAAGAAAUGGAUACAUCAGCAAAUCAAAAAAAGAAAAAAGAUUGUGAAACGAUCGUUCGAUUCUACGAGCAAACCGAGUGAAAUGUAACCUAUGCCUAUGUGAUAUGUUAUGUACUAUAAUAUUUUGUGGCAGUGUCAAAUAGAAGAGAAAAUACGUAAAAUGUGAAAUAUAAAAACCCAUAGAUACAUAUAUACGAUCAUAAUAACCACAUCCAGAUUGAAAUAUUGUAGAAGACCAUACCAAUGAAAAAGAUGGACGCACAAUACUGGCAGCGAACGUCCUGGAAAUUAAAUGUAACAUGAUAUUCGGUGAGAAUGGAAUCCAAAGUUAUAAUAAGAAUCUUAAUUAACAGGAAAAAAAAUAUAAAAUUGGAAGAAAA